Molecule: ribosomal RNA, 520 nt
Filed under: uncultured bacterium
Lineage: Bacteria
Description: bacterial SSU rRNA
Rfam family: Bacterial small subunit ribosomal RNA
Source: RNAcentral
AGCGAACGCUGGCGGCAGGCCUAACACAUGCAAGUCGAACGGACCCUUCGGGGUUAGUGGCGGACGGGUGAGUAACACGUGGGAACGUGCCUUUAGGUUCGGAAUAGCUCCUGGAAACGGGUGGUAAUGCCGAAUGUGCCCUUCGGGGAAAGAUUUAUCGCCUUUAGAGCGGCCCGCGUCUGAUUAGCUUGUUGGUGGGGUAAUGGCCCACCAAGGCUACGAUCAGUAGCUGGUCUGAGAGGAUGACCAGCCACAUUGGGACUGAGACACGGCCCAAACUCCUACGGGGGGCAGCAGUGGGGAAUCUUGCGCAAUGGGCGAAAGCCUGACGCAGCCAUGCCGCGUGUAUGAUGAAGGUUUUAGGAUUGUAAAAUACUUUCACCGGUGAAGAUAAUGACUGUAGCCGGAGAAGAAGCCCCGGCUAACUUCGUGCCAGCAGCCGCGGUAAUACGAAGGGGGCUAGCGUUGCUCGGAAUUACUGGGCGUAAAGGGNGCGUAGGCGGACAUUUAAGUCAGAGGU